GGCCACCUCCGCGGCGCCUCGUGUCAUCCCCCACCUCCUCGCCUCUCCUCCUCGUCGUCGUCGGCGGCGGGCCGGAGCCACAUGGGCCAGACCCUGCGCGGCGCCGCGGGGCGCGUGAGGGCCCCACCCACCCCGGCGCCCCCUCGUCCUCAUCACCUUCCGCCUGCGCCGCCGUCGCCGGCGGGCGCUGGCGGCGCGGCGGCACAGGAUCGUCUCCGUGUCUUCCAGGAUGAUUUCGUGAAAUCGGAUGUCACAACACAACCAAAAGAUGCCCCUGGUGUACUUAAGGAGCGUGAUCCAAGUUAUGAUGAGAUGCUUAAGCACAUGGUUGGGAGAAUCACUACAAAGCCUGGAGGAAAGCCAGAAAUGGGUGAAGCUUUCGUCGUAGAUCAGUACAACAGGCCACUCCCAAGGGUUAGAACAUCCAGACCUGAACCCGGGGAAGGCGGACACAGACAACUACCUCCAGGAACCAUUAGCGUCGCUCAUGUCCAUGAAAUCAUCCAACUGUACCAAGGAAAGUCCAGUAACCACCCUGGCCCAAUGAGCGUGGACAAGAUUGCCUCAAAGUUCAGAGUCGAAGCCUCAGUGGUUCAAAACAUCGUGCAGUUCGUCUCACUUCCGCAGGAAGAACAUGUUACCAAGAAAGAGGAAUACUGAGAGUCUAUAGGAUAUAGCGAUCUUGCAGGCUGUCUAACACAAUUCCUUUGUUCAUGUUUCCGAGUUUGUUCUGUGGUGGACUACUGGGAACACAAUGUUUCGUAGCUUAGGUUCUUUCUUCUUGUUGUUGCUGCUGCUGCUGAGAUAGUGAGAUGAGAUGAUGAUGGAACUGGAAAUAUAUAUGCUGUAUGAAUAAAGGUUGACAUCUGCUACAUCUUGGAAACAUCAUUAAUUGGCUGUGUACUGAGAAAAACACCAAACGUAAAUCCAGACUUUUUAGGUGCGUUAUUCAUUUUCGUCUUUUUAUUUUUA
Oryza sativa Japonica Group (Japanese rice) is the source of this 972-nucleotide non-coding RNA. NCBI's taxonomy places the organism in Eukaryota, Viridiplantae, Streptophyta, Magnoliopsida, Poales, Poaceae. The record is from RefSeq and is a predicted model, not a curated record.